RNAcentral lists this ribosomal RNA (359 nucleotides) under uncultured bacterium. RNAcentral's name for it is "bacterial SSU rRNA". It matches the Rfam family "Bacterial small subunit ribosomal RNA", at positions 537 to 896 of the family's 1533-position model. The record is from RNAcentral.
AGCGUUAAUCGGAAUUACUGGGCGUAAAGCGUGCSYWKGCGGUUCUGAAAGUCAGCUGUGAAAGCCCCGGGCUUAACCUGGGAAUGGCGGUUGAAACUACAGGACUAGAAUCUGGCAGAGGGGGGUGGAAUUCCACGUGUAGCAGUGAAAUGCGUAGAGAUGUGGAGGAACACCGAUGGCGAAGGCAGCCCCCUGGGCUGAGAUUGACGCUCAGGCACGAAAGCGUGGGGAGCAAACAGGAUUAGAUACCCUGGUAGUCCACGCCCUAAACGAUGUCAACUAGGUGUUGGGAGCGCAAGUUCUUGGUACCGCAGCUAACGCGUGAAGUUGACCGCCUGGGGAGUACGGUCGCAAGAUUA